CUUGAUUCUAGGCAUUCAUUUGAGUGCCGAUAUUAUUUUCACGGUAUUCUCAUUAUACGGAGGUACAGUACGUAGGCAGAAGCGAGACAAUGUUGUUUUCAAGUAUAUACAGAUUUCAGACGUGAAUAUUGAGUAAAUCUUUGAAAAUCUACACAAUAUAUAAAUUGAUCUUAUGCAUUACGGGCGUUCAAUUGAAUAAGUGCCGAUAAUAUUUAGACGGUAUAUUCAUUAUACAGAGCUAGGAAGGAGCUAGACC
Molecule: non-coding RNA, 256 nt
Organism: Paramuricea clavata
Lineage: Eukaryota; Metazoa; Cnidaria; Anthozoa; Malacalcyonacea; Plexauridae
Source: the annotation of a GenBank genome assembly